AUUGAACGCUGGCGGCAUGCCUUACACAUGCAAGUCGAACGGCAGCACGGGAGCAAUCCUGGUGGCGAGUGGUGAACGGGUGAGUAAUAUAUCGGAACGUGCCCAGUCGUGGGGAUAACGUAGCGAAAGUUACGCUAAUACCGCAUACGAUCUAAGGAUGAAAGCGGGGGAUCGCAAGACCUCGCGCGAUUGGAGCGGCCGAUAUCAGAUUAGGUAGUUGGUGAGGUAAAGGCUCACCAAGCCAACGAUCUGUAGCUGGUCUGAGAGGACGACCAGCCACACUGGGACUGAGACACGGCCCAGACUCCUACGGGAGGCAGCAGUGGGGAAUUUUGGACAAUGGGCGCAAGCCUGAUCCAGCAAUGCCGCGUGCAGGAUGAAGGCC
RNAcentral lists this ribosomal RNA (385 nucleotides) under uncultured bacterium. RNAcentral's name for it is "bacterial SSU rRNA". It matches the Rfam family "Bacterial small subunit ribosomal RNA", at positions 30 to 416 of the family's 1533-position model. The record is from RNAcentral.